RNAcentral lists this ribosomal RNA (607 nucleotides) under uncultured bacterium. Its description in RNAcentral is "bacterial SSU rRNA". It matches the Rfam family "Bacterial small subunit ribosomal RNA", at positions 8 to 610 of the family's 1533-position model. The record is from RNAcentral.
AGAGUUUGAUCCUGGCUCAGAUUGAACGCUGGCGGCAUGCCUUACACAUGCAAGUCGAACGGCAGCACGGAGCUUGCUCUGGUGGCGAGUGGCGAACGGGUGAGUAAUAUAUCGGAACGUACCCUAGAGUGGGGGAUAACGUAGCGAAAGUUACGCUAAUACCGCAUACGAUCUAAGGAUGAAAGUGGGGGAUCGCAAGACCUCAUGCUCGUGGAGCGGCCGAUAUCUGAUUAGCUAGUUGGUAGGGUAAAAGCCUACCAAGGCAUCGAUCAGUAGCUGGUCUGAGAGGACGACCAGCCACACUGGAACUGAGACACGGUCCAGACUCCUACGGGAGGCAGCAGUGGGGAAUUUUGGACAAUGGGCGAAAGCCUGAUCCAGCAAUGCCGCGUGAGUGAAGAAGGCCUUCGGGUUGUAAAGCUCUUUUGUCAGGGAAGAAACGGUGAAAGCUAAUAUCUUUUGCUAAUGACGGUACCUGAAGAAUAAGCACCGGCUAACUACGUGCCAGCAGCCGCGGUAAUACGUAGGGUGCAAGCGUUAAUCGGAAUUACUGGGCGUAAAGCGUGCGCAGGCGGUUUUGUAAGUCUGAUGUGAAAUCCCCGGGCUC